GAUGAAGAACGUAGCGAAAUGCGAUAAGUAAUGUGAAUUGCAGAAUUCAGUGAAUCAUCGAAUCUUUGAACGCACAUUGCGCCCCCUGGUAUUCCGGGGGGCAUGCCUGUUCGGGCGUCAUUUCACCACUCAAGCCUCGCUUGGUAUUGGGCAACGCGGUCCGCCGCGUGCCUCAAAUCGUCCGGCUGGGUCUUCUGUCCCCUAAGCGUUGUGGAAACUAUUCGCUAAAGGGUGUUCGGGAGGCUACGCCGUAAAACAACCCCAUUUCUAAGGUUGACCUCGGAUCAGGUAGGGAUACCCGCUGAACUUAAGCAUAUCAAUAAGCGGAGGA
RNAcentral lists this unclassified non-coding RNA (331 nucleotides) under soil metagenome. Its description in RNAcentral is "partial contains 5.8S ribosomal RNA, internal transcribed spacer 2, and large subunit ribosomal RNA". The stretch from base 1 to 120 matches the Rfam family "5.8S ribosomal RNA", at positions 35 to 154 of the family's 154-position model. The record is from RNAcentral.